Molecule: non-coding RNA, 507 nt
Organism: Paramuricea clavata
Lineage: Eukaryota; Metazoa; Cnidaria; Anthozoa; Malacalcyonacea; Plexauridae
Source: the annotation of a GenBank genome assembly
CCCCCCGUCGACAACAUUUCCGGGAAAAUUUUUUUAGGUGCCCUUUCCGAUAGUAAUGUGCCCCUACAAGCCGGUGCCCCCCCAAACUCCAGGUGCUUCCUACGCCCCUGUUCCAAACUACCAUAUGGAUGUCAGGAACAUUGUAUGCCUACUGUGUGAAGAUGUUACAUACCUUUAUAUGUACAGUAACCUGACAAGUUAUUGGACAAUAUGAUCGCCAACAAUGGACACUACCUGUACAUGCUAAAUAAAUACGAAAGAUCUGCAUAUUGGACAAAAAAACAAUUAAUGGCACUGUCUUGUUUUCCAAUUGGAAAAUACAGUACACUAUUAUUACUUGGAAAGAAUAUGAAAACUUGCAACAAACUAAUCAUAUCAUGUUAAAAAGACAUUAUGUUUGUUCUUCCUAAUUGUGUUCUUCUGGACGUUUUGACAAGUGAAGACGGUUUAAAACAUUGGUACCAACAAUCACAUGUGUAAAUAUGAAAAUCCGAAGUACAGUUUACA